RNAcentral lists this long non-coding RNA (217 nucleotides) under Ananas comosus (pineapple). RNAcentral describes it as "long non-coding RNA (ACOM_LNC025070)". The record is from RNAcentral. Lineage: Eukaryota; Viridiplantae; Streptophyta; Magnoliopsida; Poales; Bromeliaceae.
UUAAAAAAUAUAAUUUUUAUAUUUUAUAUGCUAACUCAUUAAUGUUUUAUGAAAGAAAAUAUUAUAUUGGGAGAUUUUCAGAGAUGAUAAAUUAUUUGUUUCGCUUAUUUUUAAUUACAAAUAAAUUCAGCUAAAAAUAUGAAGUAAUUAAAUUUUGAAUACCAUCUCGUAUUUUUAGUUAAUUAUGCUAGAUAAGAUCAGUGAUGUACAGUAGCAU